AUAAAAUUACAGAUAUGCAACCAUUCAAAUCAAAUAAUUACAAUUUUUUAACACACAAAUGCAUGUGUGUCUUCCCACUUACAAAUUUUUCUGGAUCCACCACUGACGACAUAAAUGUAAAAUCACACCCUUGGACAAAUACCACAGACAACUUAUGAAAAGAGAUACCCAGAAACUGAAAGAAAUCUGAAAAUCAAGUCCCUGUGAGCCAUGCACAAUAAAUCCCACAACUAAAUUCAUUAUUAAAUAUUUUUUAUGAAAGGCCAAUGAAAUCCCACAGUAAAGAUUGUUCGGAGCUCCUGAAUUCCGUGCAGCUCAUGUCCCAAAACUGCCAAGUUCAUGCUCGCAGUCUCUGCAACAACACUAUUAUAAACCAAAAGGCGACAACUUUGACUUUUAAGAAUGGCACUACAAAUCCAUAAUACCUCGAGCAAGAAUCUACAAAAAGAGACCUUUUUUUUUCUUCAAUUGCUUUUCUCCUACAUAUCAAUUUCACUGAAUUUCUCAUCAACCAAACAGAAUAUCAGUCUAGGAAACAAAGAUGGGUUUUUCUACAAAUCAUGAACAAGGUAGGUCACAAAAGGAACUCAUUAUUCUAAUCCAUGCAUAUAGCUGAAAGAACCUAAAUCUUCAUAAAUGAAAAGAAGCAAAGUCGAAUUAACAAACCCAACAGCAGUAAGGAUGCCAAAUUCCAGUAAAUAACUA
Molecule: unclassified non-coding RNA, 705 nt
Filed under: Hevea brasiliensis (rubber tree)
Lineage: Eukaryota; Viridiplantae; Streptophyta; Magnoliopsida; Malpighiales; Euphorbiaceae
Source: RNAcentral